Molecule: transfer RNA, 72 nt
Filed under: Camelus bactrianus (Bactrian camel)
Lineage: Eukaryota; Metazoa; Chordata; Mammalia; Artiodactyla; Camelidae
Also listed under: 2 other names
Rfam family: tRNA
About the family: Transfer RNA (tRNA) molecules are approximately 80 nucleotides in length. Their secondary structure includes four short double-helical elements and three loops (D, anti-codon, and T loops). Further hydrogen bonds mediate the characteristic L-shaped molecular structure. tRNAs have two regions of fundamental functional importance: the anti-codon, which is responsible for specific mRNA codon recognition, and the 3' end, to which the tRNAs corresponding amino acid is attached (by aminoacyl-tRNA synthetases). tRNAs cope with the degeneracy of the genetic code in two manners: having more than one tRNA (with a specific anti-codon) for a particular amino acid; and 'wobble' base-pairing, i.e. permitting non-standard base-pairing at the 3rd anti-codon position.
Source: Rfam by way of RNAcentral
AGGGGUACAACUCAAUGGUAGAGCAUGUGCUUAGCAUGCAUGAGGUCCUGGGUUCAAUCCCCAGUACCUUCC